UGCCAGCCGCCGCGGUAAUACAGAGGGCUCAAGCGUUAAUCGGAAUCACUGGGCUUAAAGGGUCCGCAGGCGGAUCGGUAAGUAUCUUGUGAAAUACCAUGGCUCAACCAUGGAAUUGCUCGGUAAACUGCCAAUCUUGAACAUAGUAGGGGCCAUCGGAACUCUAGGUGGAGCGGUGAAAUGCGUAGAUAUCUAGAGGAACGCCAAAGGCGAAGGCAGAUGGCUGGGCUAUUGUUGACGCUCAGGGACGAAAGCAUGGGUAGCGAACGGGAUUAGAUA
RNAcentral lists this ribosomal RNA (279 nucleotides) under uncultured bacterium. RNAcentral describes it as "partial 16S ribosomal RNA". It matches the Rfam family "Bacterial small subunit ribosomal RNA", at positions 506 to 784 of the family's 1533-position model. The record is from RNAcentral.